This 468-nucleotide ribosomal RNA is filed under the name uncultured bacterium. Its description in RNAcentral is "partial 16S ribosomal RNA". It matches the Rfam family "Bacterial small subunit ribosomal RNA", at positions 28 to 507 of the family's 1533-position model. The record is from RNAcentral.
GACGAACGCUGGCGGCGUGCUUAACACAUGCAAGUCGAACGGAAAGGCCCUGCUUUUGUGGGGUGCUCGAGUGGCGAACGGGUGAGUAACACGUGAGUAACCUGCCCUUGACUUUGGGAUAACUUCAGGAAACUGGGGCUAAUACCGGAUAGGAGCUCCUGCUGCAUGGUGGGGGUUGGAAAGUUUCGGCGGGUGGGGAUGGACUCGCGGCUUAUCAGCUUGUUGGUGGGGUAGUGGCUUACCAAGGCUUUGACGGGUAGCCGGCCUGAGAGGGUGACCGGCCACAUUGGGACUGGGAUACGGCCCAGACUCCUCCGGGAGGCAGCAGUGGGGAAUAUUGCCCAAUGGGCGGAAGCCUGAUGCAGCAACGCCGCGUGCGGGAUGACGGCCUUCGGGUUGUAAACCGCUUUCGCCUGUGACGAAGCGUGAGUGACGGUAAUGGGUAAAGAAGCACCGGCUAACUACGUG